ACAUACGACCAUAGAUUGUGGAAAUCAGGGCAUCCCGUCCGCUCUGCCGUACUUAAACCACCAAUCGGCAGAUUAGUAGUUGGGUGGGUGACCACCAGCGAAUACCUGCUCUUUUAUAUU
Molecule: ribosomal RNA, 120 nt
Organism: Glarea lozoyensis 74030
Lineage: Eukaryota; Fungi; Ascomycota; Leotiomycetes; Helotiales; Helotiaceae
Source: Rfam